GCCGUGAUUGUAUAGUGGUUAGUACUCUGCAUGGUGGCUGCAGCAAUCCUGUUUUGAAUCCAAGUCAUGGCA
Non-coding RNA from Pangasius djambal, 72 nucleotides. The record is from the annotation of a GenBank genome assembly. NCBI's taxonomy places the organism in Eukaryota, Metazoa, Chordata, Actinopteri, Siluriformes, Pangasiidae.